CCUACGGGAGGCAGCAGUGGGGAAUAUUGCGCAAUGGGCGAAAGCCUGACGCAGCGACGCCGCGUGAGGGAUGAAGGUCUUCGGAUCGUAAACCUCUGUCAGCAGGGAAGAACGGUCACUGUGCUAAUCAGCAGUGAAUUGACGGUACCUGCAAAGGAAGCACCGGCUAACUCCGUGCCAGCAGCCGCGGUAAUACGGAGGGUGCGAGCGUUAAUCGGAAUUACUGGGCGUAAAGCGCUCGUAGGCGGUAUGUCAAGUCAAGGGUGAAAUCCCCGCGCUCAACGUGGGAACUGCCUUUGAAACCGGGAAACUUGAGUGUGUGAGAGGAUAGUGGAAUUCCAGGUGUAGGAGUGAAAUCCGUAGAUAUCUGGAAGAACAUCAGUGGCGAAGGCGACUAUCUGGCACAUAACUGACGCUGAGGAGCGAAAGCGUGGGUAGCAAACCGGAUUAGAUAACCGGGUAGUC
This 465-nucleotide ribosomal RNA is filed under the name uncultured bacterium. Its description in RNAcentral is "partial 16S ribosomal RNA". It matches the Rfam family "Bacterial small subunit ribosomal RNA", at positions 338 to 795 of the family's 1533-position model. The record is from RNAcentral.